Molecule: non-coding RNA, 1625 nt
Organism: Agelaius phoeniceus (red-winged blackbird)
Lineage: Eukaryota; Metazoa; Chordata; Aves; Passeriformes; Icteridae
Source: RefSeq, a predicted model, not a curated record
AGUGAUAUACACAAGUAGUGUGUCUAUAUAUAUAUAUAUUUAUAUAUAUAUAUAUAUAUUUAUAUAUAUAUACACACACACAUAUAAGGUUCCCCAAAAUACAUGAUACUCUGGCUCAGGCUGGGGCUUAAGCAUCUGCUUCUACAGGUUCCAAUUUGCAGACCUGCUGCUUCAGCCACUUUGGAGCAGCUUUUGCAUAGGCAUUUUGUCUUCAUGUGCUCCCCUUUCCAGCAGCAAGGACUUGGAGGCACCGUGGGCAGGGAGUGCUUGAGGACUCGGCAGUGUAUCUCCUGCAGCGAGGGCAUUUUGCUUUGGCAAUGGGUUGGGCUAUAACUUUGUAUGAAGAUUGUUCACAGAUGUCACCACCUGUCAAAGAAAGUGUAAUUGUUGAGAGAGAGGCUGGAGCUGUAGGUAAGACUCAAGCCAUGAACAACCUGUGUUGUAGUGCAGGAGUCUGUCUGGAAUGGUUUUCUUACCUUCCAAGUUAAUCAGAAAGGUCCCUUUUAUGAUGUUUGCAUCUGAAGGUAUUUCUUUGGGGAGCUCGCUCAGCAGGGUUGUCUGGGAAGCCAUCAUUAUCUCAUUUAGCUGGGAAACACUGGAAGUUUCUUCAGCCUGCAGUGCCUGGGGGACAGAGAGCUUUCAGACUUGGAACUUGGUUUUGUUUCUCAGCACCAACCAGUCUAGAAAAUAAACACUGAGCUGUGGUUCCUAAUCAGAGUGGAUGGUUUGAACCAAGAGUCUGGUUUACUCCUGCUAGGAGGAGGACAGACUUGAACUGCAGUGGCCAAGAGAAAGGUGCCUGAGGGCCAAGCAGCUGCCAAUAAGCCAGGGACAGGGACAGCAGCAUCCCACCUUGGGAUGCUGCAUUAGACCAUUGCCAGCAGGGUAAAGGUGGUCCUCUUCCAAGAAACCAAAGCUGAUUUUUUUAGUGUGAGGGUGGUCAAAUACUGGCACGGGCAGCCCAGAGAGCUGGCAGGAUCUCCAUCCUCAGAACUAUCCAAAAACCAAUGGACAGAGGCCUGGGCAACCUGUUGUAAGUAAGCCUGCCUGUGCAAGGAGCUGUACUGUACAGGCUCCAGCAGUGCCUUCCACCUCAACCAUUCUGUGAUUCUCUGGCAGCAGGAACGAACUCACCUGUCUUUGAUCAUGCUGAAAUAGAAGUUAGACAAGCUUCUGGAACAGAAUGAUUGCAGCAGUCGAACAACUUUGCUAUAAUCAUAUUGUUUGUAAGCUUCUGUAACCUGGGAGAGGGAGCAUUGAGCACCACAGGCCCAAUCAUCACCUCUGUGAAAACAUUGGAUUCUGCCACCCACCAGCGGAGAACAUCGGCACCAUAUGGAGGAUCCUUGGUGUGAUCCUGAGGACAGACAGAGCCAUAGAAUAUCUCCAGCUGAAAGGGAUCCAUAGGGAUCAUCCAGUCCAACUCCCUGUUCCACGCAGGACUACCUAUAAUUUUAUGUGCCCAGAGGCUACUGUGCUUGGAGGCUUCCCCCUCUUUUAGUAACUCACACCUGCAGCACUCUGUGUACAGGCAAUGCUAGAACCUAGGUAAGCUGAGAGAAACUCAUCUGCAGCCUUAAAUCCUUUGAAUGCUUCUCAUUAAAAUAGCCAUGUUAGUAUCUAAA